This 23-nucleotide non-coding RNA is filed under the name Mus musculus (house mouse). Lineage: Eukaryota; Metazoa; Chordata; Mammalia; Rodentia; Muridae. The record is from RNAcentral.
UAGUUCCCUUCCCCCAGGCAAAA